UUGAUUCAGCAGCAUAUAUACUAAAAACGGAACUAUACAGAGAAGAUCAGCAUGGUUCCCAUGGAAGGAUGACACGCAAAUUUGUGAAGCACUCUAUUUUUUU
Small nuclear RNA from Balaenoptera musculus (blue whale), 103 nucleotides. NCBI's taxonomy places the organism in Eukaryota, Metazoa, Chordata, Mammalia, Artiodactyla, Balaenopteridae. The record is from Ensembl.